GAGGAUAUAGCUCAGUGGUAGAGUACAUACUUGGCAUGCAUGAGACCCUGGGUUCAAUCCUCAGUACCCCCA
Molecule: non-coding RNA, 72 nt
Organism: Bos taurus (domestic cattle)
Lineage: Eukaryota; Metazoa; Chordata; Mammalia; Artiodactyla; Bovidae
Source: Rfam